AUGACGUAUGCCACCCUCUACAGGACCAGUGACUCUGUGUACAAUGUAAUACAGACGAGGGGUAGUGGAACUGAAGAUGACUACGAAAACCGAAACUUGAGUAAACAUCAGCCCAAGUCGGAGCCUAGAAGUUAGCUAGACACAACAUGCUGUGGUGCCCAUGUUGGAGAAACAGAUUCUAAUCUGGCCUGAGUCCAUGUCUCGUGCGCUUUUCUGCACUGCGUGUGUUUCGUAUCUCUACUUUUGCUAACAAGAAAAUGGCAAAAGUUCAAAUAAUGAAUCAAAUCAAAAUGG
Rhinichthys klamathensis goyatoka is the source of this 294-nucleotide long non-coding RNA. RefSeq lists it as uncharacterized. Lineage: Eukaryota; Metazoa; Chordata; Actinopteri; Cypriniformes; Leuciscidae. The record is from RefSeq and is a predicted model, not a curated record. The transcript has 2 exons.